RNAcentral lists this ribosomal RNA (493 nucleotides) under uncultured bacterium. RNAcentral's name for it is "bacterial SSU rRNA". It matches the Rfam family "Bacterial small subunit ribosomal RNA", at positions 903 to 1397 of the family's 1533-position model. The record is from RNAcentral.
AAAUGAAUAGACGGGGACCCGCACAAGCAGCGGAGCAUGUGGUUUAAUUCGAAGCAACGCGAAAAACCUUACCAAGACUUGACAUCGUAUGACCACUAUAGAGAUAUAGUAUUCUCUUCGGAGACAUAUAGACAGGUGGUGCAUGGUUGUCGUCAGCUCGUGUCGUGAGAUGUUGGGUUAAGUCCCGCAACGAGCGCAACCCUUGUGAAUAGUUGCCAAUAUUAAGUUAGGAACUCUAUUCAGACUGCCGUGGAUAACACGGAGGAAGGUGGGGACGACGUCAAAUCAUCAUGCCCCUUAUGUCUUGGGCUACACACGUGCUACAAUGGCUAUUACAAAGAGCAGCGAAUCGGUAACGACAAGCGAAUCUCAUAAAGAUAGUCUCAGUUCGGACUGUGGGCUGCAACCCGCCCACACGAAGUCGGAGUUGCUAGUAAUCCCGAAUCAGCAUGUCGGGGUGAAUGCGUUCCCGGGUCUUGUACACACCGCCCGU